Molecule: small nucleolar RNA, 109 nt
Organism: Phoenix dactylifera (date palm)
Lineage: Eukaryota; Viridiplantae; Streptophyta; Magnoliopsida; Arecales; Arecaceae
Source: RefSeq, a predicted model, not a curated record
UAGCCGUGAUGAGGACACAAGUUCAACAAAUCUUUAAACCUCUCCCACACCUGAUACAAAGUCUCACUAUCCUUUUGUGCAAAGGUUUGAAAUCUGUCUCUUCAAACCA